RNAcentral lists this ribosomal RNA (460 nucleotides) under uncultured bacterium. RNAcentral's name for it is "partial 16S ribosomal RNA". It matches the Rfam family "Bacterial small subunit ribosomal RNA", at positions 338 to 795 of the family's 1533-position model. The record is from RNAcentral.
CCUACGGGAGGCAGCAGUGAGGAAUAUUGGUCAAUGGACGAGAGUCUGAACCAGCAAAGUAGCGUGAAGGAUGACUGCCCUAUGAGUUGUAAACUUCUUUUAUAUGGGAAUAAAAUGUUCCACGUGUGGGAUAUUGUAUGUACCAUAUGAAUAAGGAUCGGCUAACUCCGUGCCAGCAGCAGCGGUAAUACGGAGGGUGCGAGCGUUAAUCGGAAUUACUGGGGGUAAAGAGCUCGUAGGCGGUAUGUCAAGUUAAGGGUGAAAUCCUCGCGCUUAACGUGGGAACUGCAUUUGAAACUGGCAAACUGGAGUGUGUGAGAGGAUAGUGGAAUUCCAGGUGUAGGAGUGAAAUCCGUAGAUAUCUGGAGGAAUAUCAGUGGCGAAGGCGACUAUCUGGAACAUAACUGACGCUGAUGAGCGAAAGCGUGGGGAGCAAACAGGAUUAGAUACCCCUGUAGUC